This is a non-coding RNA of Maylandia zebra (zebra mbuna), 281 nucleotides long. The record is from RefSeq and is a predicted model, not a curated record. NCBI's taxonomy places the organism in Eukaryota, Metazoa, Chordata, Actinopteri, Cichliformes, Cichlidae.
UAGAUGUUGUCCCUGGGACAUCGUGUAGAUGUUGUCCCUGGGACAUUGUGUGAUAGCUUGUAAAUAAUGGAAUGAAAAUUAUUGAUUGUUAUUAACUUGUGAAAAAGAAGUGUAACAAAUCCACAUGUUAUGUUCUUACACCCUUACAGAAACUGUGACUCCUUCACAAUGUCAGAUUACCUUGUGGGAGUAGCUGGACCAAACUCUAUUGGUAUUUCAAGUUUGAAAUCCCUGUUUGACCAGACUAACAUUUCAGAUGAGGUAAUAGAUGGCCUAAUCUA